CAGCCCUGGACCAGUAAGGAGCUGGUUGCAAGCUUGAGAAGGUCUUCGAGCCUCGUUGAGCUAAACUUGUACUCUUUGAAGCUGGUUUGGGAGGUAUUCUAACCUGAGCGAGAGGGUGUUUGACCCUUGGACCGCCUUCGUCUGGUCUUGGAGGACCUUCUGGAAGCUUAACGUGAGGAUUGCGACCUAGUGGAGCUGAUCCUUGGAACUCCUUGGA
Molecule: long non-coding RNA, 217 nt
Organism: Ananas comosus (pineapple)
Lineage: Eukaryota; Viridiplantae; Streptophyta; Magnoliopsida; Poales; Bromeliaceae
Exons: 4
Source: RefSeq, a predicted model, not a curated record